RNAcentral lists this ribosomal RNA (251 nucleotides) under uncultured bacterium. RNAcentral's name for it is "partial 16S ribosomal RNA". It matches the Rfam family "Bacterial small subunit ribosomal RNA", at positions 524 to 776 of the family's 1533-position model. The record is from RNAcentral.
UACGUAGGUCCCGAGCGUUGUCCGGAUUUAUUGGGCGUAAAGCGAGCGCAGGUGGUUAUUAAGUCUGGUGUAAAAGGCAGUGGCUCAACCAUUGUAUGCAUUGGAAACUGGUAGACUUGAGUGCAGGAGAGGAGAGUGGAAUUCCAUGUGUAGUGGUGAAAUGCGUAGAUAUACGGAGGAACACCAGUGGCGAAGGCAGAUUGCUGGACAGUAACUGACGCUGAGGCGCGAAAGCGUGGGGAGCAAACAGG